This 354-nucleotide ribosomal RNA is filed under the name uncultured bacterium. RNAcentral describes it as "bacterial SSU rRNA". It matches the Rfam family "Bacterial small subunit ribosomal RNA", at positions 917 to 1269 of the family's 1533-position model. The record is from RNAcentral.
GGACCCGCACAAGCGGUGGAGUAUGUGGCUUAAUUCGAUGCAACGCGAAGAACCUUACCUAGGCUUGACAUGCUUGUCGUACUUUCCCGAAAAGGAGAGGUCACUUCGGGUGGACAAUGCACAGGUGCUGCAUGGCCGUCGUCAGCUCGUGUCGUGAGAUGUUUGGUUAAGUCCAGCAACGAGCGCAACCCCUGUGAACUGUUGCCAGCGCGUAAAGGCGGGGACUCUGUUCAGACUGCCCAGAUCAACUGGGAGGAAGGUGGGGACGACGUCAGGUCAGUAUGGCCCUUACGCCUAGGGCUGCACACGUACUACAAUGCCCAGCACAAUGAGAACCGGACCGCAAGGUGAGGA